AUUGAACGCUGGCGGCGGGCCUAACACAUGCAAGUCGAGCGAAAGAAGGGGGAUUUUGCCCGGCUUCAGUUGCGGACGGGUGGGUAAUUACCAGGUGUCUACCUGCCCGUGAGGGCUGGGAUACGUAAGGGAACCCGAAUCUAGCACAGGUUAUGAUGUAGAACGUCGGGGUUCAUUGGUGAAAGCGGUUUUUGAUGUACCUAGGAGAGGUAUCCUCGCCGCAUUAGCUAGUUGGUAAGGUAAAGGCUUACCAAGGCAACGAUGCGUAGCCGACCUGAGAGGAUGAUCGGCCACACUGGAACUGAGACACGGUCCAGACUCCUACGGGAGGCAGCAGUAGGGAAUCUUCCGCAAUGGGCGAAAGCCUGACGGAGCAACGCCGCGUGAGUGAUGAAGGUCUUCGGAUCGUAAAGCUCUGUUAUUAGGGAAGAACAAAUGUGUAAGUAACUAUGCACGUCUUGACGGUACCUACUCAGAAAGCCACGGCUAACUACGUG
This 497-nucleotide ribosomal RNA is filed under the name uncultured bacterium. Its description in RNAcentral is "partial 16S ribosomal RNA". It matches the Rfam family "Bacterial small subunit ribosomal RNA", at positions 30 to 507 of the family's 1533-position model. The record is from RNAcentral.